Molecule: long non-coding RNA, 4943 nt
Organism: Cercocebus atys (sooty mangabey)
Lineage: Eukaryota; Metazoa; Chordata; Mammalia; Primates; Cercopithecidae
Exons: 2
Source: RefSeq, a predicted model, not a curated record
UACAGACAUACCAUUUUUUUUGUGUGUGGUAAAUUCUUCCAAUUUCUCACCUUGUAUUCCCAGCACUGCCCUAACCGGACCUGGGGAGUUUCAUCUUACUUCUUUCAAUACAAAGAUUGUGAAUAUCUAUGAACUCUUUUAAGACAAUUUGUAUUCUGCCAUCAGGCUUCCUAAGCCUCCUUGUGGAUCCACAUGCAACAGAAUUAGAACUUUCAAGGCAGUCACCAAACAUGUAACUGACAGCUUUUUAAAAAAAUUCAAAAUGAGAUUAACAAGCACCAAAGGUGUUAUUCUCUUGUAUUUAUUUUAGCAGCAGCAUUCCAUCACUAUGUUUCUUCCAUUUCAGAAAUCUGCAAAACUGCUGUAGAAUAUCAAGCAAUUGUUCUUGUAAAGUGAAUUUUUAUUUUUUAGCUCACUGCAAAACAUCUAUUCACCCAUGUUUUAGUCUUUUGUUCAUUCUCUUCCAAGUUUGUACUUGGGAAAACAACAGGACACCAACCAGACAAGCUCAUUACCAUUGUCUGCAGAUAAUCUUUUACAGUCGGUGUGAAAAAUCUCACCCUGAACUAUGGCGGCUAUAGUGAAAAGAACCAUGGACACAAGUAUGACUUGUGAAUAUGAUUCAUAAAGCACCCAGAGCCCCAGUGUGGCAACACCAGAUGAAUGAAAAAGGUUCUUCUACCAAGUUAUCAAAAUCAUGUCAUUCUCACUUUCCCUCAAUAGUACCCAAAUUUUAAAAAGAAUAUAAGUAUAAUGAUGAAAUACUACAAAAGUACCAUGAGAUCACACUGCACUCAAUGAAAAUUAUCCAUGUUUAUGAAAAUAAAGAUCUGUAUCCAAAAAAGAUAGCGAAAUGUCCACAAUAAAUUAUAAACACCAGAACAUCGAGGACUUUGAUCCCUAUAUCCCAAGGCUUAGAAAACUGCCCAGCACCUAAUAACAAUAUGAACUUUUGAACAUUUCACCACGUGCCAGGCACAGUUCUGAUAGGCUCCAUGUUUUAACUUAAGGCUUACAGGCCACCAGUGAGUCUAUAAAGUUUCAGUUUAUAUAUGAGAACUGAAGCACGGGGUUAGAUAAUCUUGUGAGACAACACAAGUUAGUAGCAGAUGGGUUAAACUCAGGCCUCGCAUGUCUAAAAUAUGCACACUUACAUGCUUGUUGAAAAAAACUGUUGAUUAGGAUCAGACUAGCUUUAGAAAAUACAAGUUAAAAAAGGCAAUAGACUUUGGCCAAUUAUUUGGGUAAAACGUCAAAUGUCAGAUAUGUCGAGGCAUGGGUAGCCUUCUAAGGAGCCAUGGCUAUGGAAGGAAAAAGUUUGACUUAACAAAUAGGAAAGUGAGAGAAAUAACGAAACAGUAAAAUAACAGGAUCGUGAUGGGGCAGAGGUGGCCUGCCCAGACCUAAAUGCCUCGCGGGAGACGAGGGGACGACUCAGCAGGACAGAAGGGAGGGAAGCUCCAGACGCCAGGGCCCUCUUCCAGAUGAAAGAACCUCCCAUCCUAAGUGUCUGGCGUUCCAGGAACACCUUCGCUGCUGAGCCGGCUCAGUGAGGCAGACCGGCCAAGCCUUCAGCCCACCUCAGGGCCGCGCAACGCAGCAGCUCCGCGCACGCGUAACAGGAGGAGACACCGCCCACACGCUAGACGCGCUGUGAUUGGCCCCAGCUACCCCCCGAUCGAGAUUCCUAUUGGUCCCAGGUUAGGUGCCGAGCGUGCGCACUUUGGACGUGGGCGCGUGUGUGGAUUGGGAGGAGGUCGCGCUGUCCAUGGGCGUCCCUGGCCUGCGCCGCCCGGAGAUGAUAAAUAGCCAAAGAUGUCAGUGGCACUCAUGGACAUAGUAAGCAUAGUAGGAGCUGAAAAACUAGAAGCAAUGAAAAUGUCAACUAUUUUGACCUAAAAGAAGCAGUGUCUUCGGAACAUUUGGUCAUAAAACCAGAAAUUAAAGGAUGAGAAAAACAUUUUUCUGAAGCUUAUACUUUCACAUUUACUAGAGAGCAUAUUUGUAUGGAUGGGGUUGAGUAAACACUCAACAAAAGUUUCUUUAAAAAGAAGAAACCAUCCUGGUUUGAUGUUACAUAAUCACCAGUUACCCACUGCUCCCUUCCCUCCCCAAACUGCCCUGUUGCUUGCAGGCUCACCUGAGCUGAGAGGCAGCCCUCACUCCCCAUUGGCACCUCACUGGGGCCUUCUUUAUACCCUGGAGAACUUCACAGGGAAUCUGUAUCUGUAACACAAAGGCUUCCUGGUCCAGAUGUAGAUACUAGGUCUGACUGGAUAUUUAAGUCCUGCGGACUUACUCUGCCAAAAUUAUUUAAUCAUAUAAAAAUAAUUUAUAAUUCUUACAAAGUAUCCCAUUCAUAAGAUAAUGAAUGUUGGGGUUAUUGCAUUUACUUGCACAUGUACAGUAUACAAGAUUAUACAUUAAUAAUAAUGUUUUCAAAUAGUUAUUGUCAAAGCUGUUUUUCUUAUGUUUAUGAAAGUGCUUAUAAAAUUAAUGUUUUAUGAGGCUAGAGAUGUAUAUUUUGUAAUUUCAUUCUGAUAUUUGUUAAUACUCACUUCCACUGCUGGGUUUGGUUGAUGAGAUUGGCAUUGUCUAAUUUCAAGCUUUUUGAGUGUGUACUCUUUCAUGGCAAGUACAAAAUAACUAGUAAAAAAUAUACAAAUAUGCUUAACAAUCAGUAGACUUUCUCACAUUGAUUACUUACAACAGCUUUAGGUGGGGUGAAUCAGAUGCCUGUAUUACAGAAGCAUCUAAUGCAAAGCAAAAUCAAAUGACUUGUAUGAGCGCACAGAGGUAGGUGUGGAAGAAAGUGAAACACUAUUUUAGGUUUUAGUUACACUCUGCUGUGGUGUGCUGCCUCAUAUUUGCAUUAACCUGCAAAUACUAGGGGUUAUGAAUUGUUUCUAAGUCUAUUAUUAAAAAUAGCCUUGCUUCAUUUCUUCCUAAAAUGGAGACAAACGUGUAUAGUGUCUAUCUUACCAGUAUGUGUAAGAAUAAUAUCUUAAUGUGUGUAACAUGUUUAUAGGAACCUGUAUUUCAAAGAGCUAUUUUUGCAAGUGAGACUAACCUUCUAAGAAACUUUUUUAUUCAAACUUUUUUCUCCAUUUAUAACUGUUCUAUUAUUUCUUAAUGUUCAGAACCCUUUUCAUUAUCUGUAAGGCUAAGUUUUAGGUAAGUUAUGAGAAAAUAAUAAUAAUAUAUGGAAAAGAAAUGAAUGAGGAGUCAAGAUGUCUGUCAAUCAAGAAUGAGUAUGUCAGCCCUUGUAUUAUGAUUUUACCUGGGAGGUGAUAAUUAUUGGAUGAUGUAAUGUAAGGGCAGUGAUACUACAUGGUAUGUAAGACUGUUAAAAUCAUUGAGGUAAGAUAUUACUUGAACUAAGCACAGAGAUACAGACAGAUUUUUAAUGCAUUUAAUUAUCAAAAUAUCUAAAUUAAAGAUUUGGUGUGGCUGUUCACUGGAAACAAAUGGCAGACAAACAGAAUAUUUCUUGGAGUCAUAAAUGACAUCAUACUGUUUCCAACUUUCUGUGUAGCUUCUUUCUUCAGUUGGUCUUUGCUUAGAUUUCCCUGUGUCAGAGAAGACUUCCCUGGACAUCAGUGACAGUUAUUGAUUGCUCAUGCUAUGAGCUCUUCCCAUUUCUCAGCCCGCUUGCAGUAGGUGAGGCCAUGAUACUAGUUAUAGCUGAUUGCUUAAAGACUUUAAGGCUCCAUAUGUGACUUUCCAGCUCUUGUCCACUGCUACUCUGGCAGGACUACGGAGGUGCGCCGUGUUUCAGAUACGGCAGCCUCCAUCCGCCUGUGUCCCUGAAUGACUAGAGCACAACCACUGGUGACCUGUGGUGGACACAGAAUGUGGGUAAGAAAUAAACUUAUGCUACACCACUGGGGUUCAGGGGCUAACUUGUUACCACAGCAUAGUCAGCCUUUUCUAGUACCCCAUUCUGUCUAAAUUUUGCAGUCCUACCCCACUCCAUGCCUCCCCAACCCUUCACUCUGCUUAGUUUCUUUGUAGCACUGGUCACUGCAUGACCUGUCUUUGUUUUACUUUCUCACAUCACUUCUCCCUGCCUCCAUGCACAUACACAAAAAUUUAAACUCCAUGCCUGGCCAAAAUAAAUGUUUGGUAAAUAAAUUCUGCCAGUUCUGUUUGCAAUUUCUCAGAAGCAAGGAAAGAAAUCCUAUAUAAAGUGGAUCUGUGCUUUGGCAAUUUUCAUUUAGGGUAAUUGCCCUUUUUUAAAAUGGCUGUGCAUUUUUUAUGAUGAAUAUAAAGUAUUUAGCGGAAAUAUUUUUUAUUAAAAUUGUUGAGCUUGUGGAAUGACUCUAGCAGCCUGUGUGAAAGAAACACUAUGCUAGAGAGUCGUCUUUCUGCCAGGUGUAAUCGUUACAUUUAGCUCUAGUUCUCCAUGGGAGAUCCAUGCAGAGAUGUGAAAAUGGGAUGUGUCUUCCUUCUUGAAAGUUGCUCCAGGUUUUGGCUUCAGGUGCCUCCUGUUUUCUGCCCUCUCUUUUCCCUGGGAGUUCCUUCUGUUUACUUUCAUGAGGACUCUGGGCAUAAAACAUAUUUGUAUACCUGGGUGUGUGGGAAGGAAUUGAAGGCAAAGGUAGCAGUCAUUUCAGGCUGAAGAUGUUAAGUAGUCAUCUAGCACUUGGUUUUUGUAGAACCUCCUGUGGCAAUCUCCACAGUGUUGUAUUGGAAAGAAAUCUUGUGUAAGAACUGGUCUAAGGGCCAGUGACCGUGAAUGAUGGUUGUGGUGACAGCAUGGCCAUUUUAGAGACAGGCAGACCAGAUAUUGGUUACUUUGAUUUUAGUUGACAAAGUUUACUUGCUUUUAAGUUUUGAAACAAUACAGCAGUGUGAACUUCAAGUUGUAAACUUUCAUUUAGAAAGUUCAAAAUUUAGUUCAAAUAUAAAAUAUUCUGAAUUUGAAUAAAAACUUUAAAACU